CACGGGGUUGACAACAAGCAAAUUAAAGUGAUAUCUGCUGUUGCUGCCCCUCCAGCCCUGCAAAAGCUGAGCGAGAAGUUUCCAGGGCUUCAUGUAUACACUGGCAUCAUUGAUCCUAUUGUAAAUGAAAAAGGGUUCAUAAUCCCUGGACUGGGUGAUGCUGGAGACCGCAGCUUCGGUACAUAAAGUCAUUACUCAAGUACACUGGUGUCUGAUUUUUAGUUCUUACUCCUGCAAUUUUGGAAUAUUGAGCCUAUUAAUAGGAAAGAUUUCUGAGAAUCAUUGUUUUAUUAGAGGAAGUUAAACUUGAUUCAUUUUGCAAAAUAUGGUAUUGAAGAAAUAGGAACCAAAAUGUGCCCCCCAUGGAUUUUGUAUCAACCGUUCUAAUUUUUCUUGACCAUAAUUAAAUCUGGCUUUGGAGAUUCCA
Non-coding RNA from Prunus avium (sweet cherry), 427 nucleotides. NCBI's taxonomy places the organism in Eukaryota, Viridiplantae, Streptophyta, Magnoliopsida, Rosales, Rosaceae. The record is from RefSeq and is a predicted model, not a curated record.